Molecule: non-coding RNA, 48 nt
Filed under: Schistosoma mansoni
Lineage: Eukaryota; Metazoa; Platyhelminthes; Trematoda; Strigeidida; Schistosomatidae
Source: RNAcentral
AUCCAGCCGAUGAGUCCCAAAUAGGACGAAAUGCACAUCAAACUGAAU